Molecule: ribosomal RNA, 253 nt
Filed under: uncultured bacterium
Lineage: Bacteria
Description: partial 16S ribosomal RNA
Rfam family: Bacterial small subunit ribosomal RNA
Source: RNAcentral
UACGUAGGGGGCAAGCGUUAUCCGGAUUUAUUGGGCGUAAAGAGCUCGUAGGCGGCCGUUCGCGUCGGAUGUGAAAGCUCAGGGCUCAACUCUGAGAUGCCAUUCGAUACGGGACGGCUAGAGGUAGGUAGGGGAGAGUGGAAUUCCUGGUGUAGCGGUGAAAUGCGCAGAUAUCAGGAGGAACACCGGUGGCGAAGGCGGCUCUCUGGGCCUUACCUGACGCUGAGGAGCGAAAGCUGGGGGAGCGAACAGG